AUGUAUGUCUGGAGCACACCAUAUUAAAGGAGGGAGUGGCAGAAAACGUGAGGUGGGAAUCAAAUCAUGCUGGGCUUUUUGGCCAGCAAACUUGGAAAUCAUGUCUUAGAGAUCAAGGAGCCAAGAGAUGAGACAAGCCUGGGUUCCUAGGUGAUAGGGUGUGGCUGUGUCCCCACCCAAAUCUCGUCUUGAAUUGUAGCUCCCAUAAUCCCCACAUGUUGUGGAGGGACCCUGUGGAAGAUCUUUAAUAAAUGAAAUAAAUGUGACUGUAUGUCCUACAUCCCAUUCCUGUUGUCUUCCAUGUCUCCUCAGAGGAAGGCCUGAGGAGAGAAGACACAUAGUCAUGCUGACUAAACCAGAUCACCUAGAAUUACCAAAUGGAAAGAUUGUGCCUGCAGCCUGGCCUGUUGCCCACAGCGGUCUACCUGCCACACUGGGAAAGAUCGAGCAGAGACAGAGAAGAAAAGGAGGCUCCAUUUUUCAGGCUGCUCUCCCGCAGGCUCAUGUUUUGUGUUCAUGCCAGGCAGAGAACACAAAAUGUUCCAAUAAAUAAGUAUCAAAGAUGUACCCAUAGGGUCAAGCUCCAGCACAGAGACCCAUCCUGGGAUGCAGGACUUGGUGCCAGGGAAGUCCCAGGAUAAGUCAAUUGAGCUUCACUUCUCUAAUUGAAAUCACCGUGCUGAUGGAGUCUGUCUGUGGAAAUGAAAGGUGGCUACCAUAAUCUGUUGGGAGUUGAAUUAAUCCUCUGGGAGUGAGGCUGACCUAAUUACUCAGAAAUACUGGGCUUGCUUUCAUUCUGUGGAAUACAGCCAUGAGAAAGAGGCCAGCAUGCCAUUUCCUAAUCUUUUCUUGAAUUGCCUGAAACUCACCUAACAUGAAACUGAGAAGCCUUUUCAUUUGAAAGUGGUAUUUCUUAUGUUUUUUAUCUUUUUGCUUGAAAGUAUUCUUAAACUAAAGAAAGGAGAAACAGAAAAGGUGAAGAAGCCAAGAGGCUGGAGUUUCCUUUUGAAUGGAUAUUCAUCCAUGAAGCUGUUGAUUCUGUUUUUCUGUUCCUCCAGAUGUCUACACUUUUACCUCUGCUUGCCUGAUACAACCACCACCAGUCACCUCACAGAAUAACUCACUCCUUAAGAAUCUGAUCAGGAAUCAGCCUUCCCUGAUCACAAACACUGAGUUUAGAAGUCCCUCCACAGUGUCCCCCGUAACCCUGUGCUACCUCACUGCCUCAUAGUUUAGUGCCGUUUGUGUACAUGCCUAUCUUCGUCCAUGGAUCCAGAACAACUUGUAAAAAUGACUGUACUUAUCACCUUCAGUAUUCAAUGACUAAACUAUAAUUUUAACAUAUCUGGCAGAAUGAAUCACUUGGGGAUUUCUGCCAACACUACCAAUAUAUUACUCCUAAUUUGUAAUUAUUACUUAGCAUGGAUUAUAGUACCGGCUGUUGGAGAGCCAAUGUGGCAGACCCUAAGUGGAAUAAAAUGUCAGUAGCAGUCUAGGAGCAUAUAUUUAUUGGAAUAGAUCAUUCAUUCAUUUGUUCAUUAACUAAUUUGUUCAUUAAAUAAACAUUUAUUAAG
Homo sapiens (human) is the source of this 1574-nucleotide long non-coding RNA. Ensembl annotates it as CCDC26 long non-coding RNA. Its record names the gene CCDC26. The record is from Ensembl. NCBI's taxonomy places the organism in Eukaryota, Metazoa, Chordata, Mammalia, Primates, Hominidae.